This 253-nucleotide ribosomal RNA is filed under the name uncultured bacterium. RNAcentral describes it as "partial 16S ribosomal RNA". It matches the Rfam family "Bacterial small subunit ribosomal RNA", at positions 524 to 776 of the family's 1533-position model. The record is from RNAcentral.
UACGAGUUGUGCAAACGUUAUUCGGAAUCACUGGGCUUAAAGGGUGCGUAGGCGGCUAUGAAAGUCAGAUGUGAAAUCCCUCGGCUCAACCGAGGAACUGCACUUGAAACUGCAUAGCUCGAGGGAGACAGAGGUGAGCGGAACUGAUGGUGGAGCGGUGAAAUGCGUUGAUAUCAUCAGGAACACCGGUGGCGAAAGCGGCUCACUGGGUCUUAUCUGACGCUGAGGCACGAAAGCCAGGGGAGCAAACGGG